AGGACAGGAAAAGGAGGGCAUGCUGGGAGAAAUCCACAUGCAGAGGAGGGGGGGUGGGGGGGGGGGUUCUCUGCACUCUCAAACACACAAUCAAAUCAAAUCAGUUUUAUUUGUACAGCGCUUUACAGAAUACUGCCACAAAGACGCUGUACAGAGUAGCAGAAAGAGGGAGCAAAAACCAGGACUGAACUCCCAAAUAGAAAAAAAACCUCCUCAGUGGGAACACACAUCAUUAAACCACGAAAACAGAAAAAGCAUCCUUUCUUCUCCAAGACAUUGGUAAAAACUCAACACCCCCCUCAGUACUCAUAAAAAUCAACAUUUAAGCAUUUAGCAGAUGGUCCUUCCUGACUUGCAUCAUUUACAUACAGUGCAAUCCAUUUAUACAGCUGGAUAUUUACUGAAGAAAUUAAGGUUAAGCACUUUGCUCUAGGGAACCAUGGCGAUAGGAGGUUCAAGCCCAGUUCCCUAGCCACCAUGCUACACUGCAGCCUUGAUACUCCACCCAGCAGUGAUGAGGCUGCUGACUGGAUGCUGGGUUGAAGGGACCGGGUUCAUUUAAGGCGACGAUUGGCUCAUUUAAGGUCUGGCAGCUUUACUAGUGAAAAGUAAAAGGUUGUAAAAACAAAUGUGCUAGGAGGGCAUUCAGAUUCACUUUUGAAUGCAUCUAACAGAAGCAAUGCAUGUUGUGGCGCAGCGCUUGGUCCUUGUGUCAGGGGUGACUGGACAAGAGAGACAGGGGACACUGCAAUGCUCACUGCCUUCUUUCCACUCCUUGAACUCAAACAAAGAAAAGACUCACAAAAUAAGAUGGUGGGAAAGACAACAACAUGCACCUCUGUCAGAGGGUUGGCCAGACGAGCUCACAUGGUGGCCAAGCGGUGAAGAGGGACUCUUUUCGUGGACCAAGGGCAAUUGUGACCUCCUCUUUUAUUGGAUGUGACCCAGGAAAUGUAAACUCCAAACUGGAGAGCCUCACCAACGGUUACUUAUGUGGGGAUUCAUUCAUUAAUUUUCAAUCGAGCAUAACGGAUAGCUCUUUUAUUUUAUUACACGCACAGGGUCCUCAAACUUUAACUCCGUUAUCCCAUUAGUGCGCUUGAGCAGAGGUGAUAAAACCUUGCAGUCUCGGUAAUAACCAGGAAGCCGUUUGUUUUCGCCGAGGGCGUCAGCAUGUCUUUGGCUCGCCUGAGGGAUCUGCCUUCCUGCUUCAGGAGGGGAGAGAGAAGCAGGAAUCAGGUCAAGGAUAUGCUCGAUUUUCAUGAAGUAACAGGCCGGAUUUGAGAAGUAUUUUACCGCAUGGCUUCGUAGGCCAGUCUGGCACAGGGCCUUGUGAUCCUUUCCCAUGAUCCGUUGCUCAAACACGGGUUUAAUUAUGUCGGGAUCAGGCCUCUUCAGAGCUGAAGCUUUGCCUGGAGGACACCGCCUGGCGUGAUCUGAGGUUUAGCCUGCUGCCAUUUCUGUUUGCCAAGAAUGUACCACUACAGCCCCCUCCCCAAACCCCAGAAGAAGAAGAAGAAGAAGAAAAAAUGAGUAUCUGAAUACUAUUCCGUUAAAGAAAGCAAGUAUCCGUUAUUAUUUAUUUACUUUCUCCUCGUUUUGUGGAGGGAUGGGUUGUUAUCAUGGGUCGCCUCUGGUUGGUCAGGCAGUAGUAAACGCACACAGUUCUUUUCUUGCUUGGUCAGGCAGUAGUAAACGCACACAGUUCUUUACUUGCUUGGUCAGGCAGUAGUAAACGCACACAGUUCUUUUCUUGCUUGGUCAGGCAGUAGUAAACGCACACGUUUUUUAUUGCUUAGUGUCUGAUUGGGGUUGCACUUCUUUAGCAUGCCAAAUCCAGCAAUGUUUGCAUAUCCAUACACAGUAUUUAUGAGGACUCCACACCACACACAGUAUUUAUGAGGACUCCACACCACACACAGUAUUUAUGAGGACUCCACACCACACACAGUAUUUAUGAGGACUCCACCCCAUACACAGUAUUUAUGAGGACUCCA
This is a long non-coding RNA of Anguilla rostrata (American eel), 1997 nucleotides long. RefSeq lists it as uncharacterized. Lineage: Eukaryota; Metazoa; Chordata; Actinopteri; Anguilliformes; Anguillidae. The transcript is spliced from 2 exons. The record is from RefSeq and is a predicted model, not a curated record.